RNAcentral lists this ribosomal RNA (510 nucleotides) under uncultured bacterium. RNAcentral describes it as "bacterial SSU rRNA". It matches the Rfam family "Bacterial small subunit ribosomal RNA", at positions 17 to 518 of the family's 1533-position model. The record is from RNAcentral.
UUCUGGCUCAGGAUGAACGCUAGCGACAGGCUUAACACAUGCAAGUCGAGGGGCAGCAUAAAAGUAGCAAUACUUGGUGGCGACCGGCGCACGGGUGAGUAACGCGUAUGCAACCUACCUAUCGAGAGGGGAAUAACCCGGCGAAAGUCGGACUAAUACCGCAUAAAACAGGGGCACCGCAUGGUGAUAUUUGUUAAAGAAAUUCGCUGAUAGAUGGGCAUGCGUUCCAUUAGGUAGUUGGUGAGGUAACGGCUCACCAAGCCGACGAUGGAUAGGGGAACUGAGAGGUUGGUCCCCCACACUGGUACUGAGACACGGACCAGACUCCUACGGGAGGCAGCAGUGAGGAAUAUUGGUCAAUGGGCGGGAGCCUGAACCAGCCAAGUCCGCGUGAAGGAAGAAGGAUCUAUGGUUCGUAAACUUCUUUUGCAGGGGAAUAAAGUGCAGGACGUGUCCUGUUUUGUAUGUACCCUGAGAAUAAGGAUCGGCUAACUCCGUGCCAGCCGCCGC